This 656-nucleotide ribosomal RNA is filed under the name uncultured bacterium. RNAcentral's name for it is "bacterial SSU rRNA". It matches the Rfam family "Bacterial small subunit ribosomal RNA", at positions 226 to 898 of the family's 1533-position model. The record is from RNAcentral.
GCGGCCGACAUCUGAUUAGCUAGUUGGUGGGGUAAAGGCCUACCAAGGCGACGAUCGGUAGCUGGUCUGAGAGGAUGGUCAGCCACACUGGGACUGAGACACGGCCCAGACUCCUACGGGAGGCAGCAGUUAGGAAAUUUUGCCAAUGGGGGAAACCCUGAGCGAGUAACGCCGCGUGGAGGAUGAAGGCCUUCGGGUUGUAAACUUCUUUUCUGUGGGACGAUGAUAACGGUACCACAGGAAUCAGCCCCGGCUAACUACGUGCCAGCAGCCGCGGUAAUACGUAGGGGGCGAGCGUUGUCCGGAAUUACUGGGCGUAAAGAGCGCGUAGGCGGCCCGAUAAGUUCUGUGUGAAAGCUCCCGGCUCAACUGGGAAGGGACGCGGAAAACUGUGGGGCUGGAGUGUCGGAGAGGGAAGUGGAAGUCCCGGAGUAGGGGUGAAAUCCGUAGAGACCGGGCCGAACACCAGUGGCGAAGGCGACUUCCUGGCCGACGACUGACGCUGAGGCGCGAAAGCGUGGGGAGCGAACGGGAUUAGAUACCCCGGUAGUCCACGCCGUAAACGAUGGAUACUAGGUGUUGGUGGUAUCGACCCCACCAGUGCCGGCGCACACGCAGUAAGUAUCCCGCCUGGGGAGUACGGCCGCAAGGCUAAA